UUCUCUCGCAAUUUUUUUUUA
This 21-nucleotide non-coding RNA is filed under the name Caenorhabditis elegans. The record is from RNAcentral. Lineage: Eukaryota; Metazoa; Nematoda; Chromadorea; Rhabditida; Rhabditidae.